UGGUAGCAGCCAUUUUCAGCCUGCAUUGGAAAGGGAACACUCAUGCUCUGAACAGCAGCAGCAACAGUGUGAGGAUAACCCCAGUGUGGGCAGGGGGCUGACUCAUCUCUCCAGAAGAUCAACGCUGUUUAUUAAUCACUGCUCCUUUGAAGUGAAAAAACGGAGAAAACCUCUCAUGGCCAAUUGUUGUGAUUAACCAUCUAAUUGUUCUACUGUCCCUGUGUCCAUCUUCACUGUCGGCAGAAGAAUGGCAGCUCUUCAGAGUGAAGUCCUCUGCUUGUUCUAAAACAUGCAGGGAGUCAAUUCAUGGAAUGGAACCAAUUUCUUGUCCCUUCCAACUGACCCUCCAGUCAUAUUUUUCAUCAUGGGAGAUGGUCCCACAAGUGAUGGAGAAUGUCUCAAUAUCCUUUUCUGGGAGAAGACCCAUCAGACUGGGCUGCAAGGGCUUGUUGAAUUGCAGAAUCACAGCCUCUCCCAUCAGCUCCGAGCGUGCACAUCCCAGAUAUGGCUGGUGUAGAGCACAGGAUUUUGGAGGGAGCUGGCGCUCCUAGCCCUGGCUGUGUGAAUGUCUUCUCUUCAGUGCACAUGGGUUUAUAAAAGGGGCUAAACAUUGUUGAUGCUCUAUGCCUCCUAGAGUUUGCUUGUGUUUGCUUGAAAUACUAGGCUAGACUUAAAUCUUGGGACCUGGCAGGGAAUACGUGGGUGAGCUUUAGUUUGAUCUGCAAUAAAAGUAAGUAAUAAGGAAGAAAAUCACUUUGAUAUUUAUGUAUCUGUGAAUAUGGGAAAGCAGGAGAAGUGCAUCUUGGCAAGCAAAAUAUGAAGGAAAAUGGUAUCAGUGGAGGACAGUUAGUUCUGGAAAUUUUUGCUCAAUAAUUCAUUCCAGACCAGGUCCAGCUAAAUGUUCCAUUUCAGGUACAGAUUUCAUAAAAAUACAUUUCACUAGCAUUUCAAGCCAUUUCUGACUAUAUCCAACAAACAAAAAAGAAAUUUAUGAAAUGACAAGUAGCUUAAAGCCAGGGCACACUUGCUCAAUCUCAAUGACAUUGCUGUUUCCUUCCAUACCACAGUGCACAUGGUGAGCUUUGUGGAAGC
Molecule: long non-coding RNA, 1092 nt
Organism: Chiroxiphia lanceolata (lance-tailed manakin)
Lineage: Eukaryota; Metazoa; Chordata; Aves; Passeriformes; Pipridae
Exons: 3
Source: RefSeq, a predicted model, not a curated record